UGGGGUCAGACUAGCUGACCUUUAAAGGCCCCUUCCAACCCAGACUGUUUUAUGCUUGUGUUAUAUAUAUAUAUGCGCCUUUUAUCAUCAAAUCAAAAUUGCUCUAAUCUGCUUAGUGGGGUCAGACUAGCUGAGCUUUAAAGGUCCCUUCCAACCCAGAUUGUUUUAUGAUUGUGUUAUAUAUAUAUGCCUUUUAUCAUCAAAUCAAAAUUGCUCUAAGUACUGCAGAGCAAUUUCCUCAUAAGACAUCAUGUAGCUUCUACAUAUCUUUUAACAGGUGAUGACUACAUGUCCACAAGGACAUGGACAACCUCACUACAGGACCUUACCUUCAAAGUGGAGUUUGACCCAGUGGCCUUUGAGGAUGAUUGCUCAGUCAAAGAAAGAUGAGUUUCAGAGACCAGAGCCCUGAUACCACAAGCUUUUCUGCUUUUGCAAGCACUGGAGUCUGACAUAUAUGCAGUGGAAUAGAGGAGGUAUUAAUUAAUAUGUUUUUGCUAUUGAUUCUGCUUUUUCCUCUGCUGCUAGAUCAUUUUACUAUCAGCUUUAUGAUUUUAUUGGUAGAUCUCUAUAGUCUCUUUCUCUCAUGUUAAUUUUUCCCUUUUUGUGAGAUGGAAUUGAUGCUGCUAUUAGAGAUCUCUGCUAUUUGUUAUCGUCACAAGUGUAAGAAGGCAUUAUUAUCUUUUUAAAACUUGCAUUAACAUUUACUGUUGCAGUUAAUUCUUAGGCAUUCUGUAUCAGUGUUGCUGCCUAUUGUGAAGCCAAUAAAAUGCUAAUGAAAAAUGGACCA
RNAcentral lists this long non-coding RNA (790 nucleotides) under Calidris pugnax (ruff). Its description in RNAcentral is "lncRNA (ENSCPUG00000011649.1)". The record is from RNAcentral. Lineage: Eukaryota; Metazoa; Chordata; Aves; Charadriiformes; Scolopacidae.